RNAcentral lists this microRNA precursor (53 nucleotides) under Pteropus vampyrus (large flying fox). Its description in RNAcentral is "miRNA (ENSPVAG00000026492.1)". The record is from RNAcentral. Lineage: Eukaryota; Metazoa; Chordata; Mammalia; Chiroptera; Pteropodidae.
GAACGUGCGUGCGUGCGUGCGUGUGUGUGUGUGUGUGUGUGUGUGUGUGUCUC